This 666-nucleotide ribosomal RNA is filed under the name Scrippsiella acuminata. RNAcentral's name for it is "LSU rRNA". It matches the Rfam family "Eukaryotic large subunit ribosomal RNA", at positions 1 to 657 of the family's 3401-position model. Lineage: Eukaryota; Dinophyceae; Peridiniales; Peridiniaceae. The record is from RNAcentral.
GACAUGAAGUUAGGUCAGCAAACCCGCUGAAUUUAAGCAUAUAAGUAAGCGGAGGAAAAGAAACUAAAUAGGAUUCCCUCAGUAAUGGCGAAUGAACAGGGAUGAGCUCAGUAUGGAAAUUGGGGCCUGUGGCCUUGAAUUGUAGUCUGGAGAUGUACCACCAACUGGGGCGCAGAUGUAAGCCUCUUGGAAAAGAGCAUCAAUGAGGGUGAGAGUCCCGCUUGGCAUCUGCAGUCCCCAGUGCACGGUGUACCUUCUAAGAGUCACGUUCCUCGGGAUUGGAGCGCAAAUCGGGUGGUAAGUUUCAUCUAAAGCUAAAUAUAGUUUCGAGACCGAUAGCAAACAAGUACCAUGAGGGAAAGGUGAAAAGGACUUUGAAAAGAGAGUUAAAAGUGCCUGAAAUUGCUGAAAGGGAAGCGAAUGGAACCAGCGUAACUUGGCGAGAUUGCUGCGUGUCAAUGUGAUUGCUUGCUGCUUCAACGUAAGUGUUGUAGUAAGUCUUGAACAGGACAUGCGCGGUGCUUCUUGCCUUGUGUGUCACCGUCAGUUCGCAACUGGGGAAAACUUCAGGGACAUGGUAGCCUGUCUCCGGGUGGGUGAACGUGUUUGCUGGAACUCAUUUGCGGAUUGCUUGGUGACUAAAUGGUUCCMUCUGACCCGUCUURA